Molecule: long non-coding RNA, 410 nt
Organism: Esox lucius (northern pike)
Lineage: Eukaryota; Metazoa; Chordata; Actinopteri; Esociformes; Esocidae
Source: Ensembl
CGUCGCCGGACCUGAACCCAUGGAAGUGGGAGGCGCCGCACGUAGGGAGACGGUGCGGUCUAGGGAGUGUUCCUUUUGUGGGAGGAAGGGACACUCUGCCUCCUACUGUUUCCAGCGAGAAAGGGUCGAGCGGAGGAAGCCUGACACCCCUACACCGAGUCAGGCCGGUGGUGGCUGGUCCCCUCCAGCAGUCUGAGGUGCGGGAGGUCCCUCCGCCCCCUCUGGACAUUGAGGGGGGCCCGGCGCGCCGGGGGGGGGGGCCUGCAGUACCUGGUGGAGUGGGAGGGGUACGGCCCGGAGGAGCGUUGCUGGGUGCCGGCGGUGGAUGUUCUUGAUCCGGAGCUCCUCGCCGACUUCCAUCGUCGGCGCCCUGAUCGUCCUGCGCGGCGUCUUCCGGGUCGGCCCCGGGG